ACCUGGCUAGCUCAGUAGGAAGAGCAUGUGACUGUUGAUCUCAGAGUGAGUUCAAGCCCCAUGUUGGGUG
This 70-nucleotide transfer RNA is filed under the name Felis catus (domestic cat). It matches the Rfam family "tRNA". From Rfam's summary of the family: Transfer RNA (tRNA) molecules are approximately 80 nucleotides in length. Their secondary structure includes four short double-helical elements and three loops (D, anti-codon, and T loops). Lineage: Eukaryota; Metazoa; Chordata; Mammalia; Carnivora; Felidae. The record is from Rfam by way of RNAcentral.